RNAcentral lists this ribosomal RNA (492 nucleotides) under uncultured bacterium. RNAcentral describes it as "partial 16S ribosomal RNA". It matches the Rfam family "Bacterial small subunit ribosomal RNA", at positions 29 to 507 of the family's 1533-position model. The record is from RNAcentral.
AGUGAACGCUGGCGGUAGGCCUAACACAUGCAAGUCGAACGGCAGCACAGUAAGAGCUUGCUCUUACGGGUGGCGAGUGGCGGACGGGUGAGGAAUACAUCGGAAUCUACUUUUUCGUGGGGGAUAACGUAGGGAAACUUACGCUAAUACCGCAUACGACCUACGGGUGAAAGCAGGGGAUCUUCGGACCUUGCGCGAUUGAAUGAGCCGAUGUCGGAUUAGCUAGUUGGCGGGGUAAAGGCCCACCAAGGCGACGAUCCGUAGCUGGUCUGAGAGGAUGAUCAGCCACACUGGAACUGAGACACGGUCCAGACUCCUACGGGAGGCAGCAGUGGGGAAUAUUGGGCAAUGGGCGCAAGCCUGAUCCAGCCAUACCGCGUGGGUGAAGAAGGCCUUCUGGUUGUAAAGCCCUUUUGUUGGGAAAGAAAAGCAGCAGGUUAAUACCCCGCUGUUCUGACGGUACCCAAAGAAUAAGCACCGGCUAACUUCGUG